CCUACGGGAGGCAGCAGUGAGGAAUAUUGGACAAUGGGCGCAAGCCUGAUCCAGCCAUGCCGCGUGCAGGAAGACGCAUCUAUGGUGUGUAAACUGCUUUUGUACGGGAAGAAACACUCCCUCGUGAGGGAGCUUGACGGUACCGUAAGAAUAAGGAUCGGCUAACUCCGUGCCAGCAGCCGCGGUAAUACGGAGGAUCCAAGCGUUAUCCGGAAUCAUUGGGUUUAAAGGGUCCGUAGGCGGUUUAAUAAGUCAGUGGUGAAAGCCCAUCGCUCAACGAUGGAACGGCCAUUGAUACUGUUAGACUUGAAUUACUAGGAAGUAACUAGAAUAUGUAGUGUAGCGGUGAAAUGCUUAGAUAUUACAUGGAAUACCAAUUGCGAAGGCAGGUUACUACUAGUGGAUUGACGCUGAUGGACGAAAGCGUGGGGAGCGAACAGGAUUAGAUACCCUGGUAGUCCACGCCGUAAACGAUGGAUACUAGCUGUUGGGCGCAAGUUCAGUGGCUAAGCGAAAGUGAUAAGUAUCCCACCUGGGGAGUACGUUCGCAAGAAUGAAACUCAAAUGAAUUGACGGCUGAGACGAGACGAGACGACGACGAGGGAGGAGG
This 610-nucleotide ribosomal RNA is filed under the name uncultured bacterium. RNAcentral describes it as "bacterial SSU rRNA". It matches the Rfam family "Bacterial small subunit ribosomal RNA", at positions 338 to 951 of the family's 1533-position model. The record is from RNAcentral.